This 358-nucleotide long non-coding RNA is filed under the name Elaeis guineensis (African oil palm). RNAcentral describes it as "long non-coding RNA (EGUI_LNC022506)". Lineage: Eukaryota; Viridiplantae; Streptophyta; Magnoliopsida; Arecales; Arecaceae. The record is from RNAcentral.
AGGUAACGAGAGAAGAGCGACCUCACCUACUUCAUCAAAUUCUUGCCUGUUAGCUUAUUGAUACUCUCGAUGGAGGGGCCAAAGAGGGGAGGCGUCAUGAAGAGUAUUCUGAAGCUCCUCUGCUGCUGCGAACCACCGGCCGACUAGAUCUUGCCAAGGAUUGGAAGGUGACAGUACUGAUGAAUAGCAGCAGCAAAUAAUAUGGGACUAGUGCUCUUUAACUGUUUAUGUUACACGUUUGCUUGGUGGUUCAUGUAUUUUAUAGGAUAGGUGGCCUCCUUGUUUGGAGGGCUACGUUUCUUUAGGUGUGUCAACUCAAGUGAGAGGGUGAAUCAGUUAUGGAUUUAAUAACGUAGGG